CGGCACGGGUGAGUAACGUGUAUCCAACCUGCCGUCUACUCUUGGACAGCCUUCUGAAAGGAAGAUUAAUACAAGAUGGCAUCAUGAGUCCGCAUGUUCACAUGAUUAAAGGUAUUCCGGUAGACGAUGGGGAUGCGUUCCAUUAGAUAGUAGGCGGGGUAACGGCCCACCUAGUCUUCGAUGGAUAGGGGUUCUGAGAGGAAGGUCCCCCACAUUGGAACUGAGACACGGUCCAA
This 236-nucleotide ribosomal RNA is filed under the name uncultured bacterium. RNAcentral describes it as "partial 16S ribosomal RNA". It matches the Rfam family "Bacterial small subunit ribosomal RNA", at positions 100 to 334 of the family's 1533-position model. The record is from RNAcentral.